GGUCGCCAAUGGCUCAGUUGGUAGAGCAAUGGGCCUUCGUGCCGAUCGGAGCGGGUUUGGAUCCCGCCGGCGACCA
Non-coding RNA from Ditylenchus destructor, 76 nucleotides. NCBI's taxonomy places the organism in Eukaryota, Metazoa, Nematoda, Chromadorea, Rhabditida, Anguinidae. The record is from the annotation of a GenBank genome assembly.